AAUCUUCCGCAAUGGGCGAAAGCCUGACGGAGCGACGCCGCGUGAGCGAUGAAGGCCUUCGGGUUGUAAAGCUCUGUGGGGAGAGAAGAAUAAGUGCAACUCAAUACGUUGCAUGAUGACGGUAUCUCCUUAGCAAGCACCGGCUAACUCUGUGCCAGCAGCCGCGGUAAGACAGAGGGUGCAAACGUUGUUCGGAAUUACUGGGCGUAAAGCGCGUGUAGGCGGCACGGCAAGUCGGAUGUGAAAGCCCGCGGCUCAACCGUGGAAGUGCACUCGAAACUGCCGAGCUAGAGUCCCGGAGAGGAAGGUGGAAUGCUUGGUGUAGAGGUGAAAUUCGUAGAUAUCAAGCAGAACACCUGUGGCGAAGGCGGCCUUCUGGACGGUGACUGACGCUGAGACGCGAAAGCGUGGGGAGCAAAC
RNAcentral lists this ribosomal RNA (420 nucleotides) under uncultured bacterium. Its description in RNAcentral is "bacterial SSU rRNA". It matches the Rfam family "Bacterial small subunit ribosomal RNA", at positions 360 to 773 of the family's 1533-position model. The record is from RNAcentral.